Molecule: non-coding RNA, 227 nt
Organism: Pelobates cultripes (western spadefoot toad)
Lineage: Eukaryota; Metazoa; Chordata; Amphibia; Anura; Pelobatidae
Source: the annotation of a GenBank genome assembly
AUUGCAUCUAGCUAAGCCUGAUAGCCAUUUGCGGCAGGUGAGAAUGCGCCAGUGCCGUCACUUAGCCAGGAGUCAGUAUCAGACUGCUGUUUGAUUUCCACAUGAUAGGCCUGAAGUCCUUGGUGCUAUGGUUUUGUGCCCCCUGUGAACUGGAAUGGCAUCCAUUGGUUUCGCGCUGGUUCCCCAGCUUGCAGGUAGUGUUUUUGCUGCGGGUUAUCAUGGUUUUC